This 254-nucleotide ribosomal RNA is filed under the name uncultured bacterium. Its description in RNAcentral is "partial 16S ribosomal RNA". It matches the Rfam family "Bacterial small subunit ribosomal RNA", at positions 99 to 350 of the family's 1533-position model. The record is from RNAcentral.
CGGACGGGUGAGUAACGCGUGAGUAACCUGCCUUCAAGAGGGGGAUAACAUUCUGAAAAGAAUGCUAAUACCGCAUGACAUAUCGGAACCACAUGGUUUUGAUAUCAAAGAUUUUAUCGCUUGAAGAUGGACUCGCGUCCGAUUAGUUAGUUGGUGAGGUAACGGCUCACCAAGACCGCGAUCGGUAGCCGGACUGAGAGGUUGAACGGCCACAUUGGGACUGAGACACGGCCCAGACUCCUACGGGGCGCAUG